CGGUUAAGUUAGAAAGGGCGCACGGUGGAUGCCUUGGCACUAGGAGCCGAUGAAGGACGGGACGAACACCGAUAUGCUUCGGGGAGCUGUAAGCAAGCUUUGAUCCGGAGAUUUCCGAAUGGGGAAACCCACCACUCGUAAUGGAGUGGUAUCCAUAUCUGAAUACAUAGGAUAUGAGAAGGCAGACCCGGGGAACUGAAACAUCUAAGUACCCGGAGGAAGAGAAAGCAAAUGCGAUUCCCUGAGUAGCGGCGAGCGAAACGGGACCAGCCCAAACCAAGAGGCUUGCCUCUUGGGGUUGUAGGACACUCUGUACGGAGUUACAAAGGAACGAGGUAGAUGAAGAGGUCUGGAAAGGCCCGCCAUAGAAGGUAACAGCCCUGUAGUCAAAACUUCGUUCUCUCCUGAGUGGAUCCUGAGUACGGCGGAACACGUGAAAUUCCGUCGGAAUCCGGGAGGACCAUCUCCCAAGGCUAAAUACUCCCUAGUGACCGAUAGUGAACCAGUACCGUGAGGGAAAGGUGAAAAGCACCCCGGAAGGGGAGUGAAAGAGAUCCUGAAACCGUGUGCCUACAAGUAGUCAGAGCCCGUUAACGGGUGAUGGCGUGCCUUUUGUAGAAUGAACCGGCGAGUUACGAUCCCGUGCAAGGUUAAGCAGAAGAUGCGGAGCCGCAGCGAAAGCGAGUCUGAAUAGGGCGAAUUGAGUACGUGGUCGUAGACCCGAAACCAGGUGAUCUACCCAUGUCCAGGGUGAAGUUCAGGUAACACUGAAUGGAGGCCCGAACCCACGCACGUUGAAAAGUGCGGGGAUGAGGUGUGGGUAGGGGUGAAAUGCCAAUCGAACCUGGAGAUAGCUGGUUCUCUCCGAAAUAGCUUUAGGGCUAGCCUCAAGGUAAGAGUCUCGGAGGUAGAGCACUGAUUGGACUAGGGGCCCCUACCGGGUUACCGAAUUCAGUCAAACUCCGAAUGCCGAUGACUUAUCCUUGGGAGUCAGACUGCGAGUGAUAAGAUCCGUAGUCGAAAGGGAAACAGCCCAGACCGCCAGCUAAGGUCCCAAAGUAUACGUUAAGUGGAAAAGGAUGUGGAGUUGCUUAGACAACCAGGAUGUUGGCUUAGAAGCAGCCACCAUUUAAAGAGUGCGUAAUAGCUCACUGGUCGAGUGACUCUGCGCCGAAAAUGUACCGGGGCUAAACGUAUCACCGAAGCUGCGGACUGUUCUUCGAACAGUGGUAGGAGAGCGUUCUAAGGGCUGUGAAGCAAGACCGGAAGGACUUGUGGAGCGCUUAGAAGUGAGAAUGCCGGUAUGAGUAGCGAAAGAGGGGUGAGAAUCCCCUCCACCGAAUGCCUAAGGUUUCCUGAGGAAGGCUCGUCCGCUCAGGGUUAGUCGGGACCUAAGCCGAGGCCGAAAGGCGUAGGCGAUGGACAACAGGUUGAUAUUCCUGUACCACCUCCUCACCAUUUGAGCAAUGGGGGACGCAGGAGGAUAGGGUAAGCGCGGUAUUGGAUAUCCGCGUCCAAGCAGUUAGGCUGGGAAAUAGGCAAAUCCGUUUCCCGUGAAGGCUGAGCUGUGAUGGCGAGCGAAUUAUAGUAGCGAAGUUCCUGAUUCCACACUGCCAAGAAAAGCCUCUAGCGAGGUGAGAGGUGCCCGUACCGCAAACCGACACAGGUAGGCGAGGAGAGAAUCCUAAGGUGAUCGAGAGAACUCUCGUUAAGGAACUCGGCAAAAUGACCCCGUAACUUCGGGAGAAGGGGUGCUCUGUUAGGGUGCAAGCCCGAGAGAGCCGCAGUGAAUAGGCCCAGGCGACUGUUUAGCAAAAACACAGGUCUCUGCGAAGCCGUAAGGCGAAGUAUAGGGGCUGACGCCUGCCCGGUGCUGGAAGGUUAAGAGGAGCGCUUAGCGUAAGCGAAGGUGCGAAUUGAAGCCCCAGUAAACGGCGGCCGUAACUAUAACGGUCCUAAGGUAGCGAAAUUCCUUGUCGGGUAAGUUCCGACCCGCACGAAAGGCGCAACGAUCUGGGCACUGUCUCAACGAGAGACUCGGUGAAAUUAUAGUACCUGUGAAGAUGCAGGUUACCCGCGACAGGACGGAAAGACCCCGUGGAGCUUUACUGCAGCCUGAUAUUGAAUGUUGGUACAGCUUGUACAGGAUAGGUAGGAGCCUUGGAAACCGGAGCGCCAGCUUCGGUGGAGGCAUCGGUGGGAUACUACCCUGGCUGUAUUGACCUUCUAACCCGCCGCCCUUAUCGGGCGGGGAGACAGUGUCAGGUGGGCAGUUUGACUGGGGCGGUCGCCUCCUAAAAGGUAACGGAGGCGCCCAAAGGUUCCCUCAGAAUGGUUGGAAAUCAUUCGCAGAGUGUAAAGGCACAAGGGAGCUUGACUGCGAGACCUACAAGUCGAGCAGGGACGAAAGUCGGGCUUAGUGAUCCGGUGGUUCCGCAUGGAAGGGCCAUCGCUCAACGGAUAAAAGCUACCCCGGGGAUAACAGGCUUAUCUCCCCAAGAGUCCACAUCGACGGGGAGGUUUGGCACCUCGAUGUCGGCUCAUCGCAUCCUGGGGCUGUAGUCGGUCCCAAGGGUUGGGCUGUUCGCCCAUUAAAGCGGUACGCGAGCUGGGUUCAGAACGUCGUGAGACAGUUCGGUCCCUAUCCGUCGCGGGCGCAGGAAAUUUGAGAGGAGCUGUCCUUAGUACGAGAGGACCGGGAUGGACGCACCGCUGGUGUACCAGUUGUUCUGCCAAGGGCAUCGCUGGGUAGCUAUGUGCGGACGGGAUAAGUGCUGAAAGCAUCUAAGCAUGAAGCCCCCCUCAAGAUGAGAUUUCCCAUUCCGCAAGGAAGUAAGAUCCCUGAAAGAUGAUCAGGUUGAUAGGUCUGAGGUGGAAGUGUGGCGACACAUGGAGCUGACAGAUACUAAUCGAUCGAGGACUUAACCAAUUU
RNAcentral lists this ribosomal RNA (2932 nucleotides) under Bacillus amyloliquefaciens. RNAcentral's name for it is "23S ribosomal RNA". It matches the Rfam family "Bacterial large subunit ribosomal RNA". The record is from RNAcentral. Lineage: Bacteria; Bacillati; Bacillota; Bacilli; Caryophanales; Bacillaceae.